GUGGGGAAUAUUGGACAAUGGGUGAAAGCCUGAUCCAGCCAUGCCGCGUGUGUGAAGAAGGUCUUCGGAUUGUAAAGCACUUUAAGUUGGGAGGAAGGGCAGUAAGUUAAUACCUUGCUGUUUUGACGUUACCGACAGAAUAAGCACCGGCUAACUUCGUGCCAGCAGCCGCGGUAAUACGAAGGGUGCAAGCGUUAAUCGGAAUUACUGGGCGUAAAGCGCGCGUAGGUGGUUUUGUAAGUUGGAGGUGAAAUCCCCGGGCUCAACCUGGGAACUGCCUCCAAAACUGCAUGACUAGAGUACGGUAGAGGGUAGUGGAAUUUCCUGUGUAGCGGUGAAAUGCGUAGAUAUAGGAAGGAACACCAGUGGCGAAGGCGACUACCUGGACUGAUACUGACACUGAGGUGCGAAAGCGUGGGGAGCAAACAGGAUUAGAAACCCUGGUAGUCC
RNAcentral lists this ribosomal RNA (450 nucleotides) under uncultured bacterium. RNAcentral describes it as "bacterial SSU rRNA". It matches the Rfam family "Bacterial small subunit ribosomal RNA", at positions 354 to 796 of the family's 1533-position model. The record is from RNAcentral.